Molecule: ribosomal RNA, 424 nt
Filed under: uncultured bacterium
Lineage: Bacteria
Also listed under: 1 other name
Description: bacterial SSU rRNA
Rfam family: Bacterial small subunit ribosomal RNA
Source: RNAcentral
UGAGGAAUAUUGGUCAAUGGACGAGAGUCUGAACCAGCCAAGUAGCGUGAAGGAUGAAGGUCCUACGGAUUGUAAACUUCUUUUAUAAGGGAAUAAAACCUCCCACGUGUGGGAGCUUGUAUGUACCUUAUGAAUAAGCAUCGGCUAACUCCGUGCCAGCAGCCGCGGUAAUACGGAGGAUGCGAGCGUUAUCCGGAUUUAUUGGGUUUAAAGGGAGCGCAGACGGGUCGUUAAGUCAGCUGUGAAAGUUUGGGGCUCAACCUUAAAAUUGCAGUUGAUACUGGCGUCCUUGAGUGCGGUUGAGGUGUGCGGAAUUCGUGGUGUAGCGGUGAAAUGCUUAGAUAUCACGAAGAACUCCGAUUGCGAAGGCAGCACACUAAGCCGUAACUGACGUUCAUGCUCGAAAGUGUGGGUAUCAAACAGG